GUGUGGUUAACAAAAAUAAUAUAAAAAUGAAAUACAUAUAUAACAUUAGAAAUAAAUUACCAAAUUCGUAAAUUUUAAUUAAAGAAUCAUUCAGGUGUCUUUAAAAAAUAAUUUGAACAGUACUAUACAAAUGCACAAAUUUGGAACAAUGCUACAUACACAUAAGAGGAGUGUUAAGGUAGCCAAUGGCAGUGAUUGUGAGAGGACCAGGGUAGCCUGCCUUCUUCAACUCCGAUUCUAUAGAGUGAGCGACCAUUCUAGCAUCAUAACCAUCGGGAACCGGACAGCUGUUGAUGUCCCACCACACCAUCGUUUUUGGCUCCUGCUUCGCCUCGUUCGUAUUUCUUGAAUCCAUGGUUUUCAACAUACAAAUAUCAGUCAUCCUCAAAAUUCGGAUUAACAAAUCGCUUCUUUACUCAGAUGAAAUCACCGACCGAUGGAUGGUGCGGCGGAAUAGGGCAAGUUACACAUGUUUACCGAUACUAGUGGCUGUUUUAUAUGGGCUCAGAUUCGUGGCCUAUCAUCAAUGCCUGGAAGACACCUUCCAAGACUCGGAUGUUCUCUACAACAUAUCGAUUUUUCUUCAGAUAUCCACGGUGCAAUGUGUUUUUGUCCAUUUAUUUGAAUGGAUCCUACAUUUAAUCAAAAAAAA
This 652-nucleotide small RNA is filed under the name Arabidopsis thaliana (thale cress). RNAcentral's name for it is "ATSL284710". The record is from RNAcentral. Lineage: Eukaryota; Viridiplantae; Streptophyta; Magnoliopsida; Brassicales; Brassicaceae.